Molecule: ribosomal RNA, 627 nt
Filed under: Rhodococcus erythropolis
Lineage: Bacteria; Bacillati; Actinomycetota; Actinomycetes; Mycobacteriales; Nocardiaceae
Description: bacterial SSU rRNA
Rfam family: Bacterial small subunit ribosomal RNA
Source: RNAcentral
UGGCGGCGUGCUUAACACAUGCAAGUCGAGCGGUAAGGCCUUUCGGGGUACACGAGCGGCGAACGGGUGAGUAACACGUGGGUGAUCUGCCCUGCACUUCGGGAUAAGCCUGGGAAACUGGGUCUAAUACCGGAUAUGACCUCCUAUCGCAUGGUGGGUGGUGGAAAGAUUUAUCGGUGCAGGAUGGGCCCGCGGCCUAUCAGCUUGUUGGUGGGGUAAUGGCCUACCAAGGCGACGACGGGUAGCCGACCUGAGAGGGUGACCGGCCACACUGGGACUGAGACACGGCCCAGACUCCUACGGGAGGCAGCAGUGGGGAAUAUUGCACAAUGGGCGAAAGCCUGAUGCAGCGACGCCGCGUGAGGGAUGACGGCCUUCGGGUUGUAAACCUCUUUCAGCAGGGACGAAGCGCAAGUGACGGUACCUGCAGAAGAAGCACCGGCUAACUACGUGCCAGCAGCCGCGGUAAUACGUAGGGUGCAAGCGUUGUCCGGAAUUACUGGGCGUAAAGAGUUCGUAGGCGGUUUGUCGCGUCCUUUGUGAAAACCAGCAGCUCAACUGCUGGCUUGCAGGCGAUACGGGCAGACUUGAGUACUGCAGGGGAGAACUGGAAUUCCUGGGGUAACA